GACGAACGCUGGCGGCGUGCUUAACACAUGCAAGUCGAACGGAAAGGCCCUGCUUUUGUGGGGUGCUCGAGUGGCGAACGGGUGAGUAACACGUGAGUAACCUGCCCUUGACUUUGGGAUAACUUCAGGAAAAUGGGGCUAAUACCGGCUAGGAGCUCCUGCUGCAUUGUGGGGGUUGGAAAGUUCCGGCGGUUGGGGAUGGACUCGCGGCUUAUCAGCUUGUUGGUGGGGUAGUGGCUUACCAAGGCUUUGACGGGUAGCCGGCCUGAGAGGGUGACCGGCCACAUUGGGACUGAGAUACGGCCCAGACUCCUACGGGAGGCAGCAGUGGGGAAUAUUGCACGAUGGGCGGAAGCCUGAUGCAGCAACGCCGCGUGCGGGAUGACGGCCUUCGGGUUGUAAACCGCUUUCGCCUGUGACGAAGCGGGAGUGACGGUAAUGGGUAAAGAAGCACCGGCUAACUACGUG
Molecule: ribosomal RNA, 468 nt
Filed under: uncultured bacterium
Lineage: Bacteria
Description: partial 16S ribosomal RNA
Rfam family: Bacterial small subunit ribosomal RNA
Source: RNAcentral